This 557-nucleotide ribosomal RNA is filed under the name Rhizobium sp. HRRP180. RNAcentral's name for it is "bacterial SSU rRNA". It matches the Rfam family "Bacterial small subunit ribosomal RNA", at positions 102 to 694 of the family's 1533-position model. Lineage: Bacteria; Pseudomonadati; Pseudomonadota; Alphaproteobacteria; Hyphomicrobiales; Rhizobiaceae. The record is from RNAcentral.
ACGGGUGAGUAACACGUGGGAACGUACCCUUUACUACGGAAUAACGCAGGGAAACUUGUGCUAAUACCGUAUGUGCCCUUCAGGGGAAAGAUUUAUCGGUAAGGGAUCGGCCCGCGUUGGAUUAGCUAGUUGGUGGGGUAAAGGCCUACCAAGGCGACGAUCCAUAGCUGGUCUGAGAGGAUGAUCAGCCACAUUGGGACUGAGACACGGCCCAAACUCCUACGGGAGGCAGCAGUGGGGAAUAUUGGACAAUGGGCGCAAGCCUGAUCCAGCCGUGCCGCGUGAGUGAUGAAGGCCCUAGGGUUGUAAAGCUCUUUCACCGGACAAGAUAAUGACGGUAUCCGGAGAAUAAGCCCCGGCUAAGUUCCUGCCACCGGCCGCGGUAAUUCAAAGGGGGCUAGCGUUGUUCGGAAUUACUGGGCGUAAAGCGCACGUAGGCGGACAUUUAAGUCAGGGGUGAAAUCCCAGAGCUCAACUCUGGAACUGCCUUUGAUACUGGGUGUCUUGAGUAUGGAAGAGGUGAGUGGAAUUCCGAGUGUAGAGGUGAAAUUCGUAGA